RNAcentral lists this long non-coding RNA (703 nucleotides) under Rattus norvegicus (Norway rat). Its description in RNAcentral is "long non-coding RNA NONRATT016264". The record is from RNAcentral. Lineage: Eukaryota; Metazoa; Chordata; Mammalia; Rodentia; Muridae.
GAGGGAGCCUGGCCCCUCUGCACCCUCCCCUGAGGCAUCAAGUUACAGGAUUAGGUGCAUCUUCUCCCAUUGAGGCCAGAAUAGGUAGUCCCCUGCAUAUGUGCCUCAGACCAGCCCAUGCCUGCUCUUUGGUUUCUGGUAGCAGCUUGGGGAGUUUCCUAGGGUCCAGGUUAGUUAAUACUUUUGCCAUAUCCUUCAGUUCCUUCAAUCCUUCCCCUAACUCUUCCAUAGGGGUCCCUAACCCCAGUCCAAUGUUUGGCUGUGUCUGCAUCUGUCUCAGUCAGCUACUGGUAGAGCCUCUCAGAGGACAGCCUUUUCAUACCUCUCCUACUCCACAAAUGACUGUAUCGUGUCCCAUAUCUUACCCUUUGACUCAAAUUGUUACUUUAUGCUUUCUACACUGAUUUUUUUAAUCUGAAUUCUGCAUAUGAGAAAAUGUUUUAAGUCUUAUUUGUAUGUUUCAUAUUUUUGAAAAUUGUAUCUUUGUUUCUGUGUGUGUGUGAGCUUUCAUGGGUUAAAGUACACUACAUGCAUGAGUCCACAGAGGGCACAAAAGAGCAUUGGUUCUCCUGGAACUGGAGUUGGAGGUGAUUAUGAGUAAGGUAGUUGCAAGGAAGCAAACUUGGGUCCUCUGCAAGAGUAGUAAGCAUUGGUAACCACUGAGCCAUGUCUCUAGGUUCAUUCUCUAGUCUCAUUCUUUAUG